UUGCUCGGAAUCACUGGGCGUAAAGGGUGCGUAGGCGGGUCUUUAAGUCCGGGGGGAAAUCCUGGAGCUCAACUCCAGAACUGCCUUUGAUACUGAGGAUCUUGAGUCCGGGAGAGGUGAGUGGAACUGCGAGUGUAGAGGUGAAAUUCGUAGAUAUUCGCAAGAACACCAGUGGCGAAGGCGGCUCACUGGCCCGGUACUGACGCUGAGGCACGAAAGCGUGGGGAGCAAACAGG
This 236-nucleotide ribosomal RNA is filed under the name uncultured bacterium. RNAcentral's name for it is "partial 16S ribosomal RNA". It matches the Rfam family "Bacterial small subunit ribosomal RNA", at positions 541 to 776 of the family's 1533-position model. The record is from RNAcentral.